Molecule: ribosomal RNA, 435 nt
Filed under: uncultured bacterium
Lineage: Bacteria
Description: partial 16S ribosomal RNA
Rfam family: Bacterial small subunit ribosomal RNA
Source: RNAcentral
AGCGAACGCUGGCGGCAGGCUUAACACAUGCAAGUCGAGCGGGCACUUUCGGGUGUCAGCGGCGGACGGGUGAGUACCGCGUGGGGACGUACCCUCUGGUUCGGAAUCACUCAGGGAAACUUGAGCUAAUACCGGAUUCGCCCUUUCGGGGUAAUGCUUGCUACCGGAGGGUGGGACCGUGUGUGAUUGUCUUGUUGGUGCGGAUACAGCUCACCAAGGUGACUAUCCGUAGCUGGUCUGAGAGGAAGAUCAACCACACUGAGACUGAGCCACCGCCCAGACUCUUACGCGAUGGAGGAGUGGGGAAUAUUGGACAAUGGGGGCAAGCCUGAUCCAGCCAUGCUGCGUGAGCUAUCAAGGUCUUAGGGUUGUAAAGCGUUUUUAACCGGGACGAUAAUGACGGUACCGGAGGAAUAAGCCCCGGCUAACUUCGUG